UACAUUUUGGUGUAAGGUGCACAUAAAUUUUUGGUGUUUAUAGGAUUACAGUUUAAGUCUGUUAAAUGUAA
This 71-nucleotide transfer RNA is filed under the name Phyllothelys breve. RNAcentral's name for it is "tRNA-Gln". The record is from RNAcentral. Lineage: Eukaryota; Metazoa; Arthropoda; Insecta; Mantodea; Hymenopodidae.